CAUUAGAUAACUUAAAUGUAAGUAUAGGUCUCUUAAACCAUAACAUAAUAAUUAACAAAUAUUUCUAAUGA
RNAcentral lists this transfer RNA (71 nucleotides) under Pseudoneureclipsis achim. RNAcentral's name for it is "tRNA-Lys". Lineage: Eukaryota; Metazoa; Arthropoda; Insecta; Trichoptera; Polycentropodidae. RNAcentral also lists the same sequence under 1 other name. The record is from RNAcentral.